Molecule: ribosomal RNA, 484 nt
Filed under: uncultured bacterium
Lineage: Bacteria
Description: partial 16S ribosomal RNA
Rfam family: Bacterial small subunit ribosomal RNA
Source: RNAcentral
AUUGAACGCUGGCGGCAGGCCUAACACAUGCAAGUCGAGCGGAUGAAGGGAGCUUGCUCCUGGAUUCAGCGGCGGACGGGUGAGUAAUGCCUAGGAAUCUGCCUGGUAGUGGGGGAUAACGUCCGGAAACGGGCGCUAAUACCGCAUACGUCCUGAGGGAGAAAGUGGGGGAUCUUCGGACCUCACGCUAUCAGAUGAGCCUAGGUCGGAUUAGCUAGUUGGUGGGGUGAAGGCCUACCAAGGCGACGAUCCGUAACUGGUCUGAGAGGAUGAUCAGUCACACUGAAACUGAGACACGGUCCAGACUCCUACGGGAGGCAGCAGUGGGGAAUAUUGGACAAAGGGCGAAAGCCUGAUCCAGCCAUGCCGCGUGUGUGAAGAAGGUCUUCGGAUUGUAAAGCACUUUAAGUUGGGAGGAAGGGCAGUAAGUUAAUACCUUGCUGUUUUGACGUUACCAACAGAAUAAGCACCGGCUAACUUCAUG